GACGAACGCCGGCGGCGUGCUUAACACAUGCAAGUCGAACGGAAAGGCCCUGCUUUUGUGGGGUGCUCGAGUGGCGAACGGGUGAGUAACACGUGAGUAACCUGCCCUUGACUUUGGGAUAACUUCAGGAAACUGGGGCUAAUACCGGAUAGGAGCUCCUGCUGCAUGGUGGGGGUUGGAAAGUUUCGGCGGUUGGGGAUGGACUCGCGGCUUAUCAGCUUGUCGGUGGGUUAGUGUCUUACCAAGGCUUUGACGGGUAGCCGGCCUGAGAGGGUGACCGGCCACAUUGGGACUAAGAUACGGCCCAGAAUCCGAAGGGAGGCAGCAGUGGGGACUAUUGAACAAUGGACGGAAGCCUUAUGCAGCAACGCCGCGUGCGGGAUGACGGCCUUCGGGUUGUAAACCGCUUUCGCCUGUGACGAAGCGUGAGUGACGGUAAUGGGUAGAGAAGCACGGGCUAGCUACGUG
Molecule: ribosomal RNA, 468 nt
Filed under: uncultured bacterium
Lineage: Bacteria
Description: partial 16S ribosomal RNA
Rfam family: Bacterial small subunit ribosomal RNA
Source: RNAcentral